Molecule: long non-coding RNA, 341 nt
Filed under: Sorghum bicolor (sorghum)
Lineage: Eukaryota; Viridiplantae; Streptophyta; Magnoliopsida; Poales; Poaceae
Description: long non-coding RNA (SBIC_LNC007718)
Source: RNAcentral
GUGGUGGGAUGAAUUCGCUGUAUAUGGGUAAGACUUUUUCCUUUGUCUUGUUGUAAUUUUCAUGUAUGUCUUAGAUUGAUUAAGUUUUUUUUUUGUGUAUAUUCUUCAGAGGAUGUGAUUGCGGGCCUGGCUAGUGCGGAGGAGCUUGCUAAGGGGGCCAGCAUUGCGCGGGAAGGGCUUGUUGUUCCUUCGCCCCGCAUUCCUGCACCAUCUGCGCUGGCCAGCAGGCCUUCGCCUGCUAAUGUUACUGGUCCUGGUGAGUUUGGUAAAUUUUGUUUUUAUGUUUUUAGUCGAGUUGUUUGUCUUUUGCUUUCGUUGAUUGUUCCUUGAUUGUGCGCAGG